UACGGAAGGCAGCAGUGGGGAAUAUUGCACAAUGGGCGAAAGCCUGAUGCAGCUAUGCCGCGUGUAUGAAGAAGGCCUUAGGGUUGUAAAGUACUUUCAUCGGGGAGGAAAAAACAAAACUAAUAAUUUUAUUUCUUGACGUUACCCGAAAAAGAAGCACCGGCUAACUCCGUGCCAGCAGCCGCGGUAAUACGGAGGGUGCUAGCGUUAAUCAGAAUUACUGGGCGUAAAGAGCACGUAGGUGGUUUUUUAAGUCAGAUGUGAAAUCCCUGGGCUUAACCUAGGAACUGCAUUUUGAAACUGAAAUACUAGAGUAUCGUAGAGGGAGGUAGAAUUCUAGGUGUAGCGGCGAAAUGCGUAGAUAUCUGGAGGAAUACCUGUGGCGAAAGCGGCCUCCUAAACGAAUACUGACACUGAGGUGCGAAAGCGUGGGGAGCAAACAGGGAUUAGAUACC
RNAcentral lists this ribosomal RNA (455 nucleotides) under uncultured bacterium. Its description in RNAcentral is "bacterial SSU rRNA". It matches the Rfam family "Bacterial small subunit ribosomal RNA", at positions 340 to 786 of the family's 1533-position model. The record is from RNAcentral.